CAGGAACGAUCAGAAGAACAGGGGGUUCUUUCAAAACCCUAAAGCACAUGAAAUCCAGCAAAAUCAAGGAGAAAUCGAGCAAAGAAAUUAGGGCUUUAACUAAAAUCGUGAUCACCAAGCUAAGGGGAUCGGAAGUUUGACGCCUAACAAGCUAGGUGGAAGCUUGUGGAUGAAGCGGGUCAAACGGAGCGCGUACGGAAAGAAAGGCGUGGCAUGGAUGCAAGGUAAGUAUAGCUUACACUAGUCUUAUAUGUUAGGAUAUUCUCUUAUCGUAUUAGUUAUGAAUGAGAUAAAUACUUAUUUGAGGUAUGAUGUUCCGGCGUGUAAACGUACGGAACAAAGUAGUCAAUCAUGACAAGAAACCAUGUGGAUGGUUAAAAGGAGUUAAAUCGGUAAAUUGGUCAUGCGUUGACCAUAACUAUUGGUUUUGAAAGACACAGUAAAACAUAAACCAUGAUAGGCUAAAAAGUGUUAAGAAAUGAUUAAUAAGUGAAAUGACCGUACGAUGUAAACCGGAGCGAGUCAUGUAGAUGAGAUGGUAAUAAAUAUCAUCUCGUCAACAUAUUCGGUCACUUAGACCAAAUGGGUUAAAAGGUGAAGAUAUCACCCUUUGACAAUAACGACUAAUGAUUUUUGUCGAGUUAUAUUAUUUCAGGUGUAAAUGUCAAAUGGGUAUUAGCAACGCUAUGAAUUAGCGGUUAUAAAAGCAAGGUACACCUUGGACGCCGGAAGACGAUCAAGCUCAG
Helianthus annuus (common sunflower) is the source of this 746-nucleotide long non-coding RNA. RefSeq lists it as uncharacterized. The record is from RefSeq and is a predicted model, not a curated record. The transcript is spliced from 3 exons. Lineage: Eukaryota; Viridiplantae; Streptophyta; Magnoliopsida; Asterales; Asteraceae.